This 327-nucleotide ribosomal RNA is filed under the name Salmonella enterica. RNAcentral describes it as "bacterial SSU rRNA". It matches the Rfam family "Bacterial small subunit ribosomal RNA", at positions 269 to 588 of the family's 1533-position model. Lineage: Bacteria; Pseudomonadati; Pseudomonadota; Gammaproteobacteria; Enterobacterales; Enterobacteriaceae. RNAcentral also lists the same sequence under 2 other names. The record is from RNAcentral.
CAAGGCGACGAUCCCUAGCUGGUCUGAGAGGAUGACCAGCCACACUGGAACUGAGACACGGUCCAGACUCCUACGGGAGGCAGCAGUGGGGAAUAUUGCACAAUGGGCGCAAGCCUGAUGCAGCCAUGCCGCGUGUAUGAAGAAGGCCUUCGGGUUGUAAAGUACUUUCAGCGGGGAGGAAGGUGUUGUGGUUAAUAACCGCAGCAAUUGACGUUACCCGCAGAAGAAGCACCGGCUAACUCCGUGCCAGCAGCCGCGGUAAUACGGAGGGUGCAAGCGUUAAUCGGAAUUACUGGGCGUAAAGCGCACGCAGGCGGUCUGUCAAGU